AAACUUUGCCUUCGAUUAGCUGUAGUCUGAGGCCCUCUUGUUCAAUUCACAGACCUCAGGAGGAAAGUAAAAGCUGCCGCCAGGAACCUGUCAUUCUGGCCUCACUGAUUCCUAGGUUGGAUGUCAUCUACUGUCACUUAGAAAGAAGGCUCUCUGGGCUCAGCCUGCGGGGCGGGUCUGCAGCCCUGUGCAGUGGAGACAGCACUCGGGGAGAACCGUCCAAUCCCGGCACAGCCAGGGCUGCUUCCGCGUCUGGCCGUGCCCUUUCCUUCUGAGCCGCCCUUCUCGCGAUUUCGGCUUCCGUCGUCAGCCCUGGGGUCCCGCUGGCUUUGCCCUGCAGGUGCUGAAGAUCCCUGGUGGCCGCCUGGCUCCCGAGCGCCUGGAAAUGGGUGCUUUACCAGGAGCUCCAUCCCUGGUUCUGAUGUAGGGCGGAGGGGGCGGCACCUGAGGAAUUCGCGGGCAGCAGGUUUACUUAAGUUGCAGC
This 484-nucleotide long non-coding RNA is filed under the name Ictidomys tridecemlineatus (thirteen-lined ground squirrel). Its description in RNAcentral is "lncRNA (ENSSTOG00000031679.1)". Lineage: Eukaryota; Metazoa; Chordata; Mammalia; Rodentia; Sciuridae. The record is from RNAcentral.